RNAcentral lists this ribosomal RNA (449 nucleotides) under uncultured bacterium. RNAcentral's name for it is "bacterial SSU rRNA". It matches the Rfam family "Bacterial small subunit ribosomal RNA", at positions 331 to 794 of the family's 1533-position model. The record is from RNAcentral.
CCAGACUCCUACGGGAGGCAGCAGUGGGGAAGAUUGGACAAUGGGGGGAACCCUGAUCCAGCGACGCCGCGUGAGGGAAGAAGUAUUUCGGUAUGUAAAGCUCUAUCAGCAGGGAAGAACGAAAUGACGGUACCUGACUAAGAAGCCCCGGCUAACUACGUGCCAGCAGCCGCGGUAAUACGUAGGGGGCAAGCGUCAUCCGGAUUUACUGGGUGUAAAGGGAGCGUAGACGGCGAUGCAAGCCAGAUGUGAAAGCCCGGGGCUCAACCCCGGGACUGCAUUUGGAACUGUGUGGCUGGAGUGUCGGAGAGGCAGGCGGAAUUCCUAGUGUAGCGGUGAAAUGCGUAGAUAUUAGGAGGAACACCAGUGGCGAAGGCGGCCUGCUGGACGAUGACUGACGUUGAGGCUCGAAAGCGUGGGGAGCAAACAGGAUUAGAUACCCCCGUACA